This 483-nucleotide ribosomal RNA is filed under the name uncultured bacterium. RNAcentral describes it as "partial 16S ribosomal RNA". It matches the Rfam family "Bacterial small subunit ribosomal RNA", at positions 30 to 507 of the family's 1533-position model. The record is from RNAcentral.
AUUGAACGCUGGCGGCAGGCCUAACACAUGCAAGUCGAGCGGAUGAAGGGAGCUUGCUCCUGGAUUCAGCGGCGGACGGGUGAGUAAUGCCCAGGAAUCUGCCUGGUAGUGGGGGAUAACGUCCGGAAACGGGCGCUAAUACCGCAUACGUCCUGAGGGAGAAAGUGGGGGAUCUUCGGACCUCACGCUAUCAGAUGAGCCUAGGUCGGAUUAGCUAGUUGGUGGGGUAAAGGCCUACCAAGGCGACGAUCCGUAACUGGUCUGAGAGGAUGAUCAGUCACACUGGAACUGAGACACGGUCCAGACUCCUACGGGAGGCAGCAGUGGGGAAUAUUGGACAAUGGGCGAAAGCCUGAUCCAGCCAUGCCGCGUGUGUGAAGAAGGUCUUCGGAUUGUAAAGCACUUUAAGUUGGGAGGAAGGGCAGUAAGUUAAUACCUUGCUGUUUUGACGUACCAACAGAAUAAGCACCGGCUAACUUCGUG